Molecule: ribosomal RNA, 262 nt
Filed under: uncultured bacterium
Lineage: Bacteria
Description: partial 16S ribosomal RNA
Rfam family: Bacterial small subunit ribosomal RNA
Source: RNAcentral
GUCCUAGCCGUAAACGAUGAGCACUAGGUGCGGGCUCGCAAGGGUCCGUGCCGCAGUUAACACAUUAAGUGCUCCACCUGGGGACUACGGCCGCAAGGUUGAAACUCAAAGAAAUUGACGGGGACCCGCACAAGCGGUGGAGCAUGUGGUUUAAUACGACGCUACGCGUGGAACCUUACCAGGAUUUGACAUGUACUUGAAAUCCCGAUGAAAGUCGGGACCUCCUUUAAAGACAGGUACACAGGUGUUGCAUGGCUGUCGU